UAUAAAGUAGUAUUUUAAGUACGGUGGGUUUUGAUCCUACAGGAGCGAACUAAUUAGCGCCUUUAUAU
Molecule: transfer RNA, 68 nt
Filed under: Bathymodiolus azoricus
Lineage: Eukaryota; Metazoa; Mollusca; Bivalvia; Mytilida; Modiolidae
Description: tRNA-Gln
Source: RNAcentral